AAUAUUGCACAAUGGGCGCAAGCUUGAUGCAGCGACGCCGCGUGGGGGAUGACGGCCUUCGGGUUGUAAACCUCUUUCAGUAUCGGCGAAGCUUGCGGGUUUUCUCGCAGGUGACGGUAGGUACAGCAGAAGCACCGGCCAACUACGUGCCAGCCACCGCGGUAAUACGUAGGGGGCGAGCGUUGUCCGGCAUUACUGGGCGUAAAGAGCUCGUAGGUGGUUUGGCGCGUUGUUCGUGAAAACUCACAGCUUAACUGUGGGCGUGCGGGCGAUACGGGCAGACUGGAGUACUGUAGGGGAGACUGGAAUUCCUGGUGUAGCGGUGGAAUGCGCAGAUAUCAGGAGGAACACCGGUGGCGAAGGCGGGUCUCUGGGCAGUAACUGACGCUGAGGAGCGAAAGCGUGGGGAGCGAACAGG
This 418-nucleotide ribosomal RNA is filed under the name uncultured bacterium. Its description in RNAcentral is "partial 16S ribosomal RNA". It matches the Rfam family "Bacterial small subunit ribosomal RNA", at positions 360 to 776 of the family's 1533-position model. The record is from RNAcentral.